RNAcentral lists this transfer RNA (74 nucleotides) under archaeon. RNAcentral's name for it is "tRNA-Lys". It matches the Rfam family "tRNA". Rfam says of the family: Transfer RNA (tRNA) molecules are approximately 80 nucleotides in length. Their secondary structure includes four short double-helical elements and three loops (D, anti-codon, and T loops). Further hydrogen bonds mediate the characteristic L-shaped molecular structure. tRNAs have two regions of fundamental functional importance: the anti-codon, which is responsible for specific mRNA codon recognition, and the 3' end, to which the tRNAs corresponding amino acid is attached (by aminoacyl-tRNA synthetases). tRNAs cope with the degeneracy of the genetic code in two manners: having more than one tRNA (with a specific anti-codon) for a particular amino acid; and 'wobble' base-pairing, i.e. permitting non-standard base-pairing at the 3rd anti-codon position. The record is from RNAcentral.
GGGUCCGUAGCUCAGUCGGUUAGAGCACCGGCCUCUUAAGCCGGGUGUCGCGGGUUCAAGUCCUGCCGGACCCA